CUCCAGUACUGUGUACAAUACUCAAAGUGAGGUCUCACCAGUGUUCUGUACAGUUGCAUGAGCACUUCCCUCUUUCUACUGCUAAUACCUCUCCCUAUACAACCAAGCAUUCUGCUAGCAUUUCCUGUUGCUCUAUUACAUUGUCUGCCUACCUUUAAGUCAUCAGAAAUAAUCACCCCUAAAUCCUUUUCCCUUUAGAUAUUGAGGUUAGGACGCUAUCAAAUAUUCUGUACUCUGCCCUUGGGUUUUUACGUUCCAGAAUGCAGUAUCUUGUAUUUAU
Molecule: non-coding RNA, 280 nt
Organism: Pelobates cultripes (western spadefoot toad)
Lineage: Eukaryota; Metazoa; Chordata; Amphibia; Anura; Pelobatidae
Source: the annotation of a GenBank genome assembly